UGGGGAAUAUUGCACAAUGGGGGAAACCCUGAUGCAGCAACGCCGCGUGAACGAAGAAGGCUCUUGGGUCGUAAAGUUCUGUUCUGAGGGAAGAAGAAAGUGACGGUACCUCAGGAGAAAGCCCCGGCUAACUACGUGCCAGCAGCCGCGGUAAUACGUAGGGGGCAAGCGUUGUCCGGAAUUACUGGGUGUAAAGGGAGCGUAGGCGGGAUGCCAAGUCAGCUGUGAAAACUAUGGGCUUAACCUGUAGACUGCAGUUGAAACUGGUAUUCUUGAGUGAAGUAGAGGUUGGCGGAAUUCCGAGUGUAGCGGUGAAAUGCGUAGAUAUUCGGAGGAACACCGGUGGCGAAGGCGGCCAACUGGGCUUUAACUGACGCUGAGGCUCGAAAGUGUGGGGAGCAAACAGGAUUAGAUACCCUGGUAGUCCACACUGUAAACGAUGAUAACUAGGUGUGGGGGGUCUGACCCCUUCCGUGCCGCAGCUAACGCAAUAAGUUAUCCACCUGGGGAGUACGACCGCAAGGUUGAAACUCAAAGGAAUUGACGGGGACCCGCACAAGCAGUGGAUUAUGUGGAUUAAUUCGACGCAACGCGAAGAACCUUACCAGGUCUUGACAUCCGGCUAACGAAGCAGAGAUGCAUUAGGUGCCCUUCGGGGAAAGUCGAGACAGGUGGUGCAUGGUUGUCGUCAGCUCGUGUCGUGAGAUGUUGGGUUAAGUCCCGCAACGAGCGCAACCCUUAUCUUCAGUAGCCAGCAUUUUGGAUGGGCACUCUGGAGAGACUGCCAGGGAUAACCUGGAGGAAGGUGGGGAUGACGUCAAAUCAUCAUGCCCCUUAUGAGCAGGGCUACACACGUGCUACAAUGGCGUAAACAAAGAGAAGCAAGACCGCGAGGUGGAGCAAAACUCAGAAACAACGUCCCAGUUCGGACUGCAGGCUGCAACUCGCCUGCACGAAGUCGGAAUUGCUAGUAAUCGUGGAUCAGCAUGCCACGGUGAAUACGUUCCC
This 1008-nucleotide ribosomal RNA is filed under the name uncultured bacterium. RNAcentral's name for it is "bacterial SSU rRNA". It matches the Rfam family "Bacterial small subunit ribosomal RNA", at positions 355 to 1375 of the family's 1533-position model. The record is from RNAcentral.